This is a long non-coding RNA of Ceratina calcarata, 2986 nucleotides long. RefSeq lists it as uncharacterized. The transcript has 3 exons. The record is from RefSeq and is a predicted model, not a curated record. NCBI's taxonomy places the organism in Eukaryota, Metazoa, Arthropoda, Insecta, Hymenoptera, Apidae.
UCUUGAUCGAGACCUUGAAAUUUAAUUCGGAGGAUCAAGCAGUUUGUUCGUUCCACCCCCAUGUGUUCCGGUUAGUGUAAUUAGUGAUUCGAGAGAGUUAGGCACGAGUCCGUGACGAUACGAUAAGGAAACGGUCCGAAGCAUUCUAGUUGGCUCUGGAUCGCGCUAUCACGAACGACGAUCCCUCAUCAUCGUCGCGGUUCUGUUACUACUUUGUCGCUUGACUCGGCGACGACGAGACACUGUGCGGCGUACACGCGGCUCUGUUCCCGCUCAUACCGCGUCACUUUUAGUGAACACGCGCCGCCCGCCGCACACGAGGAGAGGAAAUCGGAACGCGGACCCCGUAACACAGUGUACUUGCGAAUGAUACGAAGAGAGACAAAAAAAAGACCGGACGGCUAAGUUCAGGGGUCGUCGGACAUCGACGACAUUGUAUUCGUUUUCACUGAACUUCCAGCGAGCCUCGCGACCGAUUUCAUCGGAACUUUUCUACCGCGCGUGGAGCUAAGUACCGCAGACCACUACUGUCAACGUUUCUUUCGACAUUUCUUUCUCUACUGUACAGUGAGCUGCUAAGAUGUGGACAUUACCGCAAGAAGAAAAGACGCAAUGUAGGUAUCGUUUAUUCACACAUUCUGACGUCCACACGUGUGACUAUAACUAUAGAGAAGCUCGUAAUCCAGGUAUGUAUGGAUGUCGUACGACGGCCAUGUUUCAUUAUGCAAUGAACAAUAUUUACAUUGUAUAAACAUUUUUAGAAAUUCCUAUGCUCAUUCAAUUUAGUACAAUGUCAAUUCGAGUGUUUAGAUAUUCUCAAGAACAAUCAUGUCUUUUACGAUUAGAAAAUAUCGAAUUUCGAAUUUUAAAAAACGCGGCGCAUUAUUUUAUGUCACUAUUCCUCAAAUGAGUGCUCACUAAUAAAAAACUUCCCGUGUAAAGUAAAAUUUAAUUAUAGAAAAGUUAUCUGUUUAUCAGUCGUAAGGAGGGAUGCCUCGGCGAUAAUCGCGUGUAAUCUAGGAAAGAACGAUGUCGUACUUGACCGCGUGCUCGAUCCGUGAUUUUGACGAAGAAUCGUACGAUAUUGAAUCACGAAUCGAGAACCGGCCAGUAACGUGGUUACUUCGUUAUCAACGAUACAUGUGUAAACCAUGUAUCUAAUGAGGCUCAUCGUGAUAAACCCGAGCGUGAAUUCGACCCAAGUGUCCCAAUUGUUAUGAUUUCUUUUGAUCGUCAUACGCACUGUGUUCCCCAAUUUCUUUGUGUUAUUCAAAACCAAAUUCUAUGAUCUGAUAAAAUUAAAUUACAUGCACAAAAAUGAUCGAGUAGUUACCAUUUUCCCCAGAUGUUAGAAAAAUUAAAUAUGCAUAUAAAUAUGUAUAAUUAUUUCUAGUAAUAGAACUGAAAACAGAGUUAUGUAAUAUGAUAACUUUUAGACUUAUGUAACGAGAUAAAUUAUAUUUUUCUUCACUGACCUUCCCGCUUUCAUUUUUUUCGAAGUGUAAGAGACAUUGAGUGACAGUGAAAAUAGCGAAAUAUAAUACUUAAGUACAAUUUGUUAUAUAAUUUAUGUUAAUUAUAUCUUGGUGUUGAGGCUACAAGAUGUCUUUCAAUGCGAACGUAUAUACAUGUUUUUACUCAGUUUAUUACUGAUUACAUAAAUAAGUGGACUCUUUUCAUUAAUAAUAAAAGCUUUCCGAAAGAACUUUGGCUGUUUCGAAAUUCGUUUACGUACGAUUGUACGAAGUGAAUUUACGAUAAUAAUGUACUGUACUGUAAUUAAGAGUAUACAUAUAUAUAUAACCGUUUAUCGAUAAGAUUGGAACCACGAGUCGAAUAAUGACCUACAAUAAUUGCAAGUAUUCGACAAAAUAUCUAGCAAACUAUAACCAUUUAUUAUCUACAAGUUCUAAUAAAUAACGUCACUAUUACGUUCCUGAACAUUUUUGAUAAUUGCCAAAACAUUUAAUCAUUACAACUGAUAUCACUGGAUUAAAGUGGAAGUGGCAUUUAAAUCUAUAAAAAUAAUCUAAAAAAUUCAACGACUAAAACUUAUCCUGGUUGAUUUGUCACGUGAGUUGAUCAAUCUAAAAAAUUGCACGACUCGCAAUAUCAGUCAUUGAUAAAUACGGUAUCGAUUAUUGUAUAAUUAAUGACGUAAUUUAUUAUAUGCUGACAUAUAUCAAGUAAAUUUCCGGGAUAAUACAAAUUCUCCGUAUUCGUCGUAUGUAAUUUCAUGCGCUUUCAGAUCGAUAACGUAUAGGAUCGUGAAGUAUACACCAAGCUACUUUAAUGUUAGAACUAUUGAGUGCAAUCGUUUAUCGAAAUUCUAUAUCCUUCGGAUUUUUUUAUUUAUCGUAAAUUAACAUGCACAGUAAUAUUUAUGUAGUUACAAGCAGGUCACUACAAACGUCUUAUGUUUGUUCGAAUAAUAAUAAUAUCAGCAAAGUUAGAAAACACGAACAGAUAUAAGGGAAAGUAAUGAAAUAGGUAAAAAAACUGGCGACCUAAUUAAGCCGAAGGAGUAUUAAUUUAUAAAUAAAUUGAUUUGUCAUCAAUGGAAUCGUGUCAGCUAUUAACGUAAUUUUGACUUCGUGAAGCACUACGUAGACAGGCGGGAGUGCACCCUUUAUCUAAUAAAAACGCAUUAGCGGUACGGAAAUAUUACGUUGGAAAACGAUUGAGUUUUCCUCAGCCCGUAUUCUAAUUAUUUAUGUAUAUUUAGCGGUGGCAAACUCUAUGGAUUUUCACGCAAGGCAAUCAAAAAAUUGACAGAGCCAGUCUGAUUGGUCAAUUGCAGUGUCAGGCGACGCAUACCGUAUUUCGAUUGGCCUGUACAAAGCGUGCGGUGUAACCAAGUAACACGCGUCACCAACCGAUGUAUACCGACUGUGACUCUUUAACGUAAUUGUAUAUGGAAAAUUCUUGCGUAAUUUCUCGAUUACUAAUUAAUCAGAUCUAGAAUCGCCGUAAGAACAGUAAAACU